Nerophis ophidion (straightnose pipefish) is the source of this 4517-nucleotide long non-coding RNA. RefSeq lists it as uncharacterized. Lineage: Eukaryota; Metazoa; Chordata; Actinopteri; Syngnathiformes; Syngnathidae. The transcript is spliced from 2 exons. The record is from RefSeq and is a predicted model, not a curated record.
UUCUUCCGCGUGUAUAUAAAAAAUGAUUAAUAGCGUCAUUUUGUGUGAUCAAUCAACAAGAAUUAAUUCUCCAUUUCCGAGACAAAUUCCGCGAGCGAAAGCGAAAGCGGCGCGUGCACGCUGGCUCGCUACCUGCAAGUCACGUGAUUUAACAGAAACGGCUGAGACCUCGGACGCGCGUGCGCAGACGUGAUUGAGGAGUGCGAUGCGAACGCCUUGUUGCCGCCCCACGCCUUUGAAGUGCGAAAACGAAAGUAAGAUGUUUCCAGUACGGCGUCGAGCUGCAAGUCUAAACAACAUCAUUUGCUUGUUGACUGCUCCGCCCCCGCACUUCCCUCAAGUCGAGGCGAUCCGAUCUGAGAACCGGAUGUGGACCAGAAGCGGCAUGGCCUGGCCAAGUGGACCGAGCGCCUGAUGGUCUGUGCCUGCGGCGAACAGGAGCGGGAAGAGUACAACAUGUGGCGCUCCACAGGAGGGUUCUCUUUUCUAGGAUGGUUAGAGAUAACCUUGGUAAAACCGUAGCAGAGAAUGAAAAGCACAACCAUGCUCCUGACGAGCCUGCGAGAACUCCUCAAAUCCACGAUCCAGGGAGCCAGGAGCAACAGAACCAGGCCGAGGGGACACCCGAUGGGCUCUGGUGGGAGGAACUUGAAGCCGGGUGUCAGGUACUUAUCUCACUUUACAUCUGUCAUUGUACUGGAACAUGGUUUCACUUUCAUUACUUAGCUCAGCUGUCAUUAUACUGGAACAUGGAACUUUCAAAGGCCACAUUCUUUCCCUUUAUCGGAGUGUGAGAACACCAACACGGGAUUAGAACCCAUUCUUCAUAGUUCAUGAGAUCGUAUCGGAUAACACUUCCUCAUUUUUGUCAAUUGAUAAAUACAAAUCACACUUGUAAAAAAAAACGGUUUUACUAUAUGAAAUCACAUGUUUGGGGCAUUUUGUCUUGAAUGAAUACUGUAAGUUGACAAAAUAUAUUGACUGGAACCUAUUCUUCAUAGUUGUGAGAUCGUAUCGGAUAACGUUUUCUCAUUUUUGUCAAGAUCACAGAGUUCAUUCAACAUGGAGUGAAAUUACGGCCAAAAUGCCACAAACACACAAAAAUGUUUUUACUCACGCCCGACAAUUCGCAUGUAAAAAUAGAUUGGCAGGAAUUAGAACCAUUUCAUUUAAUUUAAAAAACUUGCAAGCAUUUUACAGGUUGAGCUUUUCUCUUCUGUCCGCCAUUUUACUCCCCAAUGCUUUGUGGGGGGCGGAUGGCACCAUGCGCAAAUAAGAUUAUCUCUGAGGGCCUUACGGUUUUUUCCAUUUGCUUACACACAAUUUUACAUACUGUGUGUCUUUUCAAAGGGAUUCAAACACUUUUCUCAAAAACACAACAUUCAAUUUUCUUAAUUCCUAAAUUAUUUGCAAAAUGACGCACUUCGGGUCAAAAUUUAUAUGCCCAUUCGUCAAAAUAAUCCAGCCAUUUGUAAAAAUGCAGUUUUACGGUCAUGUCACUCGCACACACUUCAAAUGAUAAGACACUAUUGGAGUGAGUUACACACAACACUGAUAAAUACAAAACACACUUGUAAAAAAAAAAAACGUUUUACUAUAUGAAAUCACAUGCUUGGGGCAUUUUGUCAUGAAUGAUUACUGUAAAUUGACAAAAUAUAUUAACUGGUACCUAUUCUUCAUAGUUCAUGAGAUCGUAUCGGAUAACAUUUCCUCAUUUUUGUCAACAUCACAAAGCUCAGACAACAUGGACGGAAAUUACGGCCUAAAUGCCACAAACACACUAAAUGUUUUUAUUCAUGCCCGACAAUUCGCAUGUGAAAAUAUAUUGGCAAGAAUUAGAACAAUUUUUAUUUAAUUAAAAAAACUUGCAAGCAUCUUACAGGUUGAGCUUGUCUCUUCUGCCCGCCAUUUUACUCCCCAAUGCUUUGUGGGGGGCGGAUGGCACCAUGCACAAAUAAGAUUAUCUCUGAGGGCCUUACAGUUUUUUCCAUUUGCUUACACACAAUUUUACAUACUGUGUGUCUUUUUUCAAAGGGAUUCAAACACUUUUCCCAAAACACAACAUUCAAUUUUCUUAAUUCCUAAAUUAUUUGCAAAAUGACGCACUUCGGGUCAAAAUGUAUAUGCCCAUUCCUCAAAAUAACCCAGGCAUUUGUAAAAAUGCAGUUUUACAGUCAUGUCACCCACACACACUUCAAAUGAUAAGACACUAUUGGAGUGAGUUACACACAACACUGAUAAAUACAAAACACAUUUGUAAAAAAAACAAAACGGUUUUACUCUAUGAAAUCACAUGUUUGGGGCAUUUUGUCAUAAAUGAUUACUGUAAGUUUACAAAAUAUAUUGACUCGAACCUAUUCUUCAUGGUUGUGAGAUCGUAUCAGAUAACGUUUCCUCAUUUUUGUCAAGAUCACAAAGUUCAUUCAACAUAGAGAGAAAUUACGGCCAAAACGCCACAAACACACAAAACGUUUUUACUCACGCCUGACAAUUCGCAUGAAAAAUAGAUUGGCAAGAAUUAGAACAAUUUCAUUUAAUAAAAAAACUUGCAAGCAACUUACAGGUUGAGCUUGUCUCUUCUGUCCGCCAUUUUACUCCCCAAUGCUUUGUGGGGGGCGGAUGGCACCAUGCGCAAAUAAGAUUAUCUCUGAGGGCCUUACAGUUUUUUCCAUUUGCUUACACACAAUUUUACAUACUGUGUGUCUUUUUUCAAAGGGAUUCAAACACUUUUCACAAAACACAACAUUCAAUUUUCUUAAUUCCUAAAUUAUUUGCAAAAUGACCCAUCCAUCCAUCCAUUUUCUACCGCUUAUUCCCUUUUUGGGGUCGCGGAGGGCGCUGUGUUGGCCCUGCGAUGAGGUGGCGACUUGUCCAGGGUGUACCCCGCCUUCCGCCCGAUUGUAGCAAAAUGACCCACUUCGGAUCAAAACUUAAAUGCCCAUUCCUCAAAAUAACCCAGCCAUUUGUAAAAAUGCAGUUUUACAGUCAUGUCACUCACACACACUUCAAAUGAUAAGACACUAUUGGAGUGAGUUACACACAACACUGAUAAAUACAAAACACACUUGUAAAAAAAAAAACGGUUUUACUAUAUGAAAUCACAUGUUUAGGGCAUUUUGUCAUGAAUGAUUACUUUAAGUUGACAAAAUAUAUUGACUGGAACCUAUUCGUCAUAGUUGUGAGAUCGUAUCGGAUAACGUUUCCUCAUUUUUGUCAACAUCACAAAGCUCAGACAACAUGGAGUGAAAUUACGGCCGAAACGCCACGAACACACAAAAUGUUUUUACUCACGCCCGACAAUUCGCAUGUAAAAAUAGAUUGGCAAAAAUGAGAACAAUUUCAUUUAAUAAAAAAAACCUGCAAGCAUCUUACAGGUUGAGCUUGUCUCUUCUGUCCGCCAUUUUACUCCCCAAUGCUUUGUGGGGGGCGGAUGGCACCAUGCGCAAAUAAGAUUAUCUCUGAGGGCCUUACAGUUUUUUUCCAUUUGCUUACACAGAAUUUUACAUACUGUGUGUCUUUUUUCAAAGGGAUUCAAACACUUUUCUCAAAACACAACAUUCAAUUUUCUUAAUUCCUAAAUUAUUUGCAAAAUGACGCACUUUGGGUCAAAAUUUAUAUGCCCAUACCUCAAAAUAACCCAGGGAUUUGUAAAAAUGCAGUUUUACAGUCAUGUCACUCACACACACUUCAAAUGAUAAGACACUAUUGGAGUGAGUUACACACAACACUGAUAAAUACAAAACACACUUGUAAAAAAAAAAAAGUUUUACUAUAUGAAAUCACAUGUUUGGGGCAUUUUGUCAUGAAUGAUUACUAUAAGUUGACAAAAUAUAUUGACUGGAACCUAUUCUUCAUAGUUGUGAGAUCGUAUCGGAUAACGUUUCCUCAUUUUUGUCAACAUCACAAAGCUCAGACAACAUGGACGGAAAUUACGGCCAAAAUGCCACAAACACACAAAUGUUUUUACUCACGCCCGACAAUUCGCAUGUAAAAAUAGAUUGGCAAGAAUUAGAACAAUUUCAUUUAAUAAAAAAAACUUGCAAGCAUCUAACAGGUUGAGCUUGUCUCUUCUGUCCGCCGUUUUACUCCCCAAUGCUUUGUGGGGGGCGGAUGGCACCAUGCGCAAAUAAGAUUAUCUCUGAGGGUCUUACAGUUUUUUCCAUUUGCUUACACACAAUUUUACAUACAGUGUGUCUUUUUUCAAAAGGAUUCAAAAUCUUUUCCCAAAACACAACAUUCAAUUUUCCUAAUUCCUAAAUUAUUUGCAAAAUGACGCAAUUCGGGUCAAAACUUAUAUGCCCAUUCCUCAAAAUAACCCAGGCAUUUGUAAAAAUGCAGAUUUAUAGUCAUGUCACUCACACUCACUUCAAAUGAUAAGACACUAUUGGAGUGAGUUCACACAACACUGAUAAAUACAAAACACAUUUGUAAAAAAAAAAAGGUUUUACUAUAUGAAAUCACAUGUAUGGGGCAUUUUGUUAUGAAUGAUUACUGUAAAUUGACAAAAUAUAUUGACU